CGCCCUCGUUAUCGUGACAUCCGCCAAGAUUGCACACGAUUUCGGGGGCGUUUGUUUUU
Molecule: non-coding RNA, 59 nt
Filed under: Edwardsiella ictaluri
Lineage: Bacteria; Pseudomonadati; Pseudomonadota; Gammaproteobacteria; Enterobacterales; Hafniaceae
Source: RNAcentral